ACAUGAGCCUAUUUAUGUAACCUCAUCUGUGAUGGUCUGCAGCUGGGAGCAACCAGAUCAGUGUCAGUCCCUAUGCAGCCAUUGGCUGGGAGCCUGCAUGUUACCUGGAAUGAUAUUUGAAACAUGUCACCCUAGCCGUGCCUUCUCUGUGGGCUGGGAGGCGAGUCAGUCAGAAUCUGCAAUGUGGAAUGUUUUGGAUGACAAGCUUGUAUUUGCAAAAGUACACACCCUGUGGAAGGUGCUCUGUACAUACGCUGAGAUACUGCACAUAAAUUUGCCUCUGAAGCCCAAUGAUCUGAAAACCCGGUCCUCAGCCUUUGAUAACUUCAGCUGUUUUAUGAAAGUCCUCUAAGUGGAUGAAAGUAUCAACAACCGGAGCAAGAGUUUUUCAUUGCCCUAUUUGAGAAGAGCUGCGUGAAUGACUUUUAUAUUCAGGAUAGAGAUACAUUCUUCAAUCCAACCACCAGAAGCUGCAUUUCACCUUAGUUCUGGAGUUCUGGAAGCGGCGCCAGGCAGAACUUGAGUACAAAUGGGACACGGUUGAGCAGGAAGGACAAGUCCGGCCAGAAUAGGAGGUGCGGUGUCCCCACGUGGAGAUAGAUGAGAUUACCCAGGAAAAGCAGGUGCUGUUUAGAUGCACUUUAGUCUAUUUACUUCUGGACUUGUCAGCCUUGGCUGCAUGUUGGAAUCACCAGGGGACCUUAAAAAAUGUUGGUGCCUGGAUUCCAUCACUGGAAACUCUGAUGGUACUUAGUGGCCUGGGGUGCAUUCUGGCAUAGGGAAGUUUAUAAAGCUCCUCUGGUUAUUCUAAUGUGCACCCAAGGUGAAGGAGCACUGCCUGGAAUGGUGGACACAGAAGAGAAGUGUGGUCCUUCCUUCAUAAUAUCAGUAAAA
Molecule: non-coding RNA, 894 nt
Organism: Vicugna pacos (alpaca)
Lineage: Eukaryota; Metazoa; Chordata; Mammalia; Artiodactyla; Camelidae
Source: RefSeq, a predicted model, not a curated record